UACGUAGGGAGCAAGCGUUGUCCGGAUUUACUGGGUGUAAAGGGUGCGUAGGCGGCCCUGCAAGUCAGAAGUGAAAUCCAUGGGCUUAACCCGUGAACUGCUUUCGAAACUGUAGGGCUUGAGUGAAGUAGAGGCAGGCGGAAUUCCCGGUGUAGCGGUGAAAUGCGUGGAGAUCGGGAGGAACACCAGUGGCGAAGGCGGCCUGCUGGGCUUUAACUGACGCUGAAGCACGAAAACGUGGGUAGCAAACAGG
RNAcentral lists this ribosomal RNA (253 nucleotides) under uncultured bacterium. Its description in RNAcentral is "partial 16S ribosomal RNA". It matches the Rfam family "Bacterial small subunit ribosomal RNA", at positions 524 to 776 of the family's 1533-position model. The record is from RNAcentral.